RNAcentral lists this long non-coding RNA (485 nucleotides) under Macaca mulatta (Rhesus monkey). RNAcentral's name for it is "lncRNA (ENSMMUG00000059671.1)". The record is from RNAcentral. Lineage: Eukaryota; Metazoa; Chordata; Mammalia; Primates; Cercopithecidae.
CUAACUUCUGUACCCCAGCAUAACCUCCAAAGUAACAGCCGUGCCCUGGGAGCCUGUUCAACACUGAACAUAUCCCACAAUAACACAGUUCCAGCGUCGCUGGUAAAAAGCAGAAAUGGCUUCGGGGAGAAGGCAACAAAUCAAGACUCUAACCAGCUUAGGCAAAAGGAAGAACUUAUAUAAACUGGAGGCAUCAAUAAAUCUAAUGCAGUGACCUCAUGUUACAGAAGAGAACUCUAAGAGGAUAAAUAACUUGGCCAAGAUCACAUGGUAAAUAGUGAAAACAUCUGGGCUGGAAUCCAAGUGUUAUUUUUUAUCUAGUGCUGCUAUCUUGAUCUCAUUAUUUGUUUAGAAAUACUUUAGCUUUUGCCAAAAAUAUUUAACAAUUAUGGGUUCUUAUUUGUACAAUCUUUGAAUCAAACUAUACAUAAAUCCCAGGUCUCCCAGUGUCCAGUAGCAGCAAGGCUUAGAGGAGGUCAGAACAU